AGGGGCGGCCGAGGGAGG
Molecule: unclassified non-coding RNA, 18 nt
Filed under: Chlamydomonas reinhardtii
Lineage: Eukaryota; Viridiplantae; Chlorophyta; Chlorophyceae; Chlamydomonadales; Chlamydomonadaceae
Description: small RNA Cre_0575
Source: RNAcentral